GAUGAACGCUGGCGGCGUGCCUAAUACAUGCAAGUCGAGCGAACGGACGAGAAGCUUGCUUCUCUGAUGUUAGCGGCGGACGGGUGAGUAACACGUGGAUAACCUACCUAUAAGACUGGGAUAACUUCGGGAAACCGGAGCUAAUACCGGAUAAUAUUUUGAACCGCAUGGUUCAAAAGUGAAAGACGGUCUUGCUGUCACUUAUAGCUGGAUCCGCGCUGCAUUAGCUAGUUGGUAAGGUAACGGCUUACCAAGGCAACGAUGCAUAGCCGACCUGAGAGGGUGAUCGGCCACACUGGAACUGAGACAAGGUCCAGACUCCUACGGGAGGCAGCAGUAGGGAAUCUUCCGCAAUGGGCGAAAGCCUGACGGAGCAACGCCGCGUGAGUGAUGAAGGUCUUCGGAUCGUAAAACUCUGUUAUUAGGGAAGAACAUAUGUGUAAGUAACUGUGCACAUCUUGACGGUACCUAAUCAGAAAGCCACGGCUAACUACGUG
This 497-nucleotide ribosomal RNA is filed under the name uncultured bacterium. RNAcentral describes it as "partial 16S ribosomal RNA". It matches the Rfam family "Bacterial small subunit ribosomal RNA", at positions 28 to 507 of the family's 1533-position model. The record is from RNAcentral.